Molecule: long non-coding RNA, 341 nt
Filed under: Homo sapiens (human)
Lineage: Eukaryota; Metazoa; Chordata; Mammalia; Primates; Hominidae
Description: HSALNT0395445
Source: RNAcentral
AGUCUAGGGCGAGAGGGAGAAGCAGCCUCAGCACAGCUUAGGGUCCAGGUGAGGAGUCAAGGUCAGUGGGGAGAGACGGAACCGAGUGAGAGGUCAAGGUCAGUGGAGGAGAGACAGGAACCGAGGGAGAGGUCAAGGUCAGUGGGGAGAGACGGAACCGAGGGAGAGGUCAGGGUCAGUGAGGAGAGACAGGAACCGAGGGAGAGGUCAAGGUCAGUGGAGGAGAGACAGGAACCGAGUGAGAGGUCAAGGUCAGUGAGGAGAGACGGAACCGAGGGAGAGGUCAGGCUCAGUGGGGAGAGAUGGAACCGAGUGAGAGGUCAAGGUCAGUGGGGAGAGAC